Molecule: long non-coding RNA, 156 nt
Filed under: Ictidomys tridecemlineatus (thirteen-lined ground squirrel)
Lineage: Eukaryota; Metazoa; Chordata; Mammalia; Rodentia; Sciuridae
Description: lncRNA (ENSSTOG00000034109.1)
Source: RNAcentral
AGGCACAAGGACAGGCCUCUCCAAGGGUGCUGUCCUCAGAACAGUUCCCAGAGGCCUCUGUUCUCUGCAGCUAUCCUCACAAGAGGAGGAAAGCAUGGCAAUCUCUCUUCUGUGGAAUUGUAGAGUCCCAGACACUAAACUUCAUAAGAGGAAGAA